This 415-nucleotide ribosomal RNA is filed under the name uncultured Streptococcus sp. Its description in RNAcentral is "bacterial SSU rRNA". It matches the Rfam family "Bacterial small subunit ribosomal RNA", at positions 964 to 1382 of the family's 1533-position model. Lineage: Bacteria; Bacillati; Bacillota; Bacilli; Lactobacillales; Streptococcaceae. The record is from RNAcentral.
GAACUACGUACCAGGUCUUGACAUCCCGAUGCUAUUCUAGAGAUAGAAAGUUACUUCGGUACAUCGGUGACAGGUGGUGCAUGGUUGUCGUCAGCUCGUGUCGUGAGAUGUUGGUUAAGUCCCGCAACGAGCGCAACCCCUAUUGUUAGUUGCCAUCAGUUCAGUUGGGCACUCUAGCGAGACUGCCGGUAAUAAACCGGAGGAAGGUGGGAUGACGUCAAAUCAUCAUGCCCCUUAUGACCUGGGCUACACACGUGCUACAAUGGUUGGUACAACGAGUUGCGAGUCGGUGACGGCGAGCUAAUCUCUUAAAGCCAAUCUCAGUUCGGAUUGUAGGCUGCAACUUGCCUACAUGAAGUCGGAAUCGCUAGUAAUCGCGGAUCAGCACGCCGCGGUGAAUACGUUCCCGGGCCUU